AUACGGAGGGUGCAAGCGUUAAUCGGAAUUACUGGGCGUAAAGCGCACGCAGGCGGUCUGUCAAGUCGGAUGUGAAAUCCCCGGGCUCAACCUGGGAACUGCAUUCGAAACUGGCAGGCUUGAGUCUCGUAGAGGGGGGUAGAAUUCCGGGUGUAGCGGUGAAAUGCGUAGAGAUCUGGAGGAAUACCGGUGGCGAAGGCGGCCCCCUGGACGAAGACUGACGCUCAGGUGCGAAAGCGUGGGGAGCAAACAGGAUUAGAUACCCUGGUAGUCCACGCCGUAAACGACGUCUAUUUGGAGGUUGUGCCCCUGAGGUGUGGCUUCCGGAGCUAACGCGUUAAAUAGACCGCCUGGGGAGUACGGCCGCAAGGUUAAA
RNAcentral lists this ribosomal RNA (376 nucleotides) under uncultured bacterium. RNAcentral describes it as "bacterial SSU rRNA". It matches the Rfam family "Bacterial small subunit ribosomal RNA", at positions 523 to 898 of the family's 1533-position model. The record is from RNAcentral.